CCUUUUUGGGUUUGGAUUAGAAUGCUAGUCGAGUGGCUCAGCCAAUACGAGCCACGGCAUACAGCUCAGUAACACGUGGCUAAUCUGCCCUUAGGACGAGAACAACCCCGGGAAACUGGGGCUAACUCUCGAUAGGCGAAGAACUCUGGAAUGAGUCUUCACCUAAAUAGUUCAGCGUUACGCUCGUUGGACCGCCUAAGGAUGAGGCCGCGACCGAUCAGGUUGUUGGUGAGGUAAUGGCUCACCAAGCCUUUAACCGGUGCGGGCCGUGAGAGCGGGAGCCCGGAGAUGGGCACUGAGACAAGGGCCCAGGCCCUACGGGGCGCAGCAGUCGCGAAAACUUUGCAAUACACGAAAGUGUGACAGGGCUAUCCCGAGUGCCAUCCGCUGAGGAAGGCUUUUACCCAGUCUAGAAAGCUGGGGGAAUAAGGAGAGGGCAAGUCUGGUGUCGGCCGCCGCGGUAAUACCAGCUCUCCGAGUGGUGUGGAUGUUUAUUGGGCCUAAAGCAUCCGUAGCUGGCUAAGUUAGUCCCCUGUUAAAUCCACCGAAUUAAUCGUUGGAUCGCGGGGGAUACUGCUUGGCUAGGGGACGAGAGAGGCAGACGGUAUUUUCGGGGUAGGGGUGAAAUCCUAUAAUCCCGGGGAGACCACCAGUGGCGAAGGCUGUCUGCUAGAACGCGCCCGACGGUGAGGGAUGAAAGCUGGGGGAGCGAACCGGAUUAGAUACCCGGGUAGUCCCAGCUGUAAACGAUGCAGGCUAGGUGUUUGGACGGCCACGUGCCGUUCUAGUGCCGCAGGGAAGCUGUUAAGCCUGCCGCCUGGGGAGUACGAUCGCAAGAUUGAAACUUAAAGGAAUUGGCGGGGGAGCACCACAAGGGGUGAAGCUUGCGGUUUAAUUGGAGUCAACGCCGGA
RNAcentral lists this ribosomal RNA (912 nucleotides) under uncultured archaeon. RNAcentral's name for it is "bacterial SSU rRNA". It matches the Rfam family "Archaeal small subunit ribosomal RNA", at positions 28 to 922 of the family's 1478-position model. The record is from RNAcentral.